Molecule: ribosomal RNA, 1065 nt
Filed under: Streptomyces parvus
Lineage: Bacteria; Bacillati; Actinomycetota; Actinomycetes; Kitasatosporales; Streptomycetaceae
Description: partial 23S ribosomal RNA
Rfam family: Bacterial large subunit ribosomal RNA
Source: RNAcentral
UGAGCUGGGGGUGGCCGCAGAGACCAGCGAGAAGCGACUGUUUACUAAAAACACAGGUCCGUGCGAAGCCGUAAGGCGAUGUAUACGGACUGACGCCUGCCCGGUGCUGGAACGUUAAGGGGACCGGUUAGCUGCCUUUCGGGGUGGCGAAGCUGAGAACUUAAGCGCCAGUAAACGGCGGUGGUAACUAUAACCAUCCUAAGGUAGCGAAAUUCCUUGUCGGGUAAGUUCCGACCUGCACGAAUGGCGUAACGACUUCUCGACUGUCUCAACCAUAGGCCCGGUGAAAUUGCACUACGAGUAAAGAUGCUCGUUUCGCGCAGCAGGACGGAAAGACCCCGGGACCUUUACUAUAGUUUGAUAUUGGUGUUCGGUUCGGCUUGUGUAGGAUAGGUGGGAGACUUUGAAGCGGCCACGCCAGUGGUUGUGGAGUCGUCGUUGAAAUACCACUCUGGUCGUGCUGGAUGUCUAACCUGGGUCCGUGAUCCGGAUCAGGGACAGUGUCUGAUGGGUAGUUUAACUGGGGCGGUUGCCUCCUAAAGAGUAACGGAGGCGCCCAAAGGUUCCCUCAGCCUGGUUGGUAAUCAGGUGUUGAGUGUAAGUGCACAAGGGAGCUUGACUGUGAGACCGACGGGUCGAGCAGGGACGAAAGUCGGGACUAGUGAUCCGGCAGUGGCUUGUGGAAGCGCUGUCGCUCAACGGAUAAAAGGUACCCCGGGGAUAACAGGCUGAUCUUCCCCAAGAGUCCAUAUCGACGGGAUGGUUUGGCACCUCGAUGUCGGCUCGUCGCAUCCUGGGGCUGGAGUCGGUCCCAAGGGUUGGGCUGUUCGCCCAUUAAAGCGGUACGCGAGCUGGGUUUAGAACGUCGUGAGACAGUUCGGUCCCUAUCCGCUGUGCGCGUAGGAAUAUUGAGAAGGGCUGUCCCUAGUACGAGAGGACCGGGACGGACGAACCUCUGGUGUGCCAGUUGUCCUGCCAAGGGCAUGGCUGGUUGGCUACGUUCGGAAAGGAUAACCGCUGAAAGCAUCUAAGCGGGAAGCCUGCUUCGAGAUGAGUAUUCCCACC